Molecule: ribosomal RNA, 256 nt
Filed under: Bacillus subtilis
Lineage: Bacteria; Bacillati; Bacillota; Bacilli; Caryophanales; Bacillaceae
Description: partial 16S ribosomal RNA
Rfam family: Bacterial small subunit ribosomal RNA
Source: RNAcentral
UUUAUCGGAGAGUUUGAUCCUGGCUCAGGACGAACGCUGGCGGCGUGCCUAAUACAUGCAAGUCGAGCGGACAGAUGGGAGCUUGCUCCCUGAUGUUAGCGGCGGACGGGUGAGUAACACGUGGGUAACCUGCCUGUAAGACUGGGAUAACUCCGGGAAACCGGGGCUAAUACCGGAUGGUUGUUUGAACCGCAUGGUUCAAACAUAAAAGGUGGCUUCGGCUACCACUUACAGAUGGACCCGCGGCGCAUUAGCU